GUGGGGAAUUUUGGACAAUGGGGGAAACCCUGAUCCAGCGACGCCGCGUGAAGGAUGAAGGCCUUCGGGUUGUAAACUUCUUUUGGAGGGGACGAAUAAAUUGACGGUACCCUCAGAAAAAGCCACGGCUAACUACGUGCCAGCAGCCGCGGUAAUACGUAGGUGGCGAGCGUUACUCGGUAUUACUAGGCGUAAAGCGUAUGUAGGCGGUUGUAUAAGUCUAUGGUGAAAUUUCCUGGCUAAACUGGGAAGGGACAUAGAUACUGUAUGGCUUGAGUGUUGGAGGAGGAGACGGAAUUCCUGGUGUAGCGGUGAAAUGCGUAGAUAUCAGGAGGAACACCGAUGGCGAAAGCAGUCUCCUGGCCAAAUACUGACGCUGAGGUACGAAAGCGAGGGUAGCAAACAGGAUUAGACACCCCGGUAGUCA
Molecule: ribosomal RNA, 427 nt
Filed under: uncultured bacterium
Lineage: Bacteria
Description: partial 16S ribosomal RNA
Rfam family: Bacterial small subunit ribosomal RNA
Source: RNAcentral